Non-coding RNA from Zootermopsis nevadensis, 917 nucleotides. Lineage: Eukaryota; Metazoa; Arthropoda; Insecta; Blattodea; Termopsidae. The record is from RefSeq and is a predicted model, not a curated record.
UACGCUACAGAAAUAAUUCUAUCGCAGAUCAGGGGAUUGAUAACUUAAACGGAGAAAGGAAAAAUACGCUGGAGAAAACAGGAUCGCAUAUUUUCCUCACCGCCUGUCUUCUCAAGCUUCGUCCGUCUUUAUACUCUUUUAUUAACGUGAGAGCCCACGGUGACAUCCAUACAAAACAACAGAAUAAUCGCACAUCCUUGAAGUGAUCAUCGUAAUAUUGGUGUCUGUUCUUUGAGGAACGUGCUGCCACAGUCUUCUUCAUGCUGUGGCGUCAGCUUCGGUGCCUGCAAUGGCCAGCUCGCGUUGUUCGAGGCUUUGAACUCCCAGCGGAGGGACCAUGGCUAUCCAUCAGUCCGCAUUUCACCGAACUAAUACCUGUUUUCGAAUUUUUCGAUUACCCUUCACUUCUACAUAAAUUGUCUCAUCUUUAAAUUUGUAUAAUUAUGGGUACAAAUGCGUUAUGAAAUCGACCUGAUCUGUAAAUUAAUUUGCUCGUUUUCAGAUGCUUUUUAAGUGUAAGUCUGUCUGAAUAUAUAGGAUUUGAGACUUUCUGAAUAUAUUUCAUCUACUUUCAGUAGAGGGAUUUCGAGAGGUCUCUUAUCGUUGAAAAUUAAAACACAAGUGUCGGCUUUGAGACUUCCAUAUUUUAUUAAAAUUAUUUGUAUUUGAGUAGGUCACGAAGAACGUUUUCUGUUAAAGAAUAAGGCAGCCAUGCUGCUUUAGUUAAAUCUGAUUAAAAACUGCGCUUACUUGCUCGACAGGGACAUCUUGAGAGUUUACAGAGCGCCACAAGUUAACUAGAGAACCUAACCAUGACAUAGACCAGUGGUAUUCAACCUGGGGUACGUGACCCCCGGGGGGUACGCGAAGACAUCUUAGGGGGUACGUGAAAUUUAAAAAAAUAUUAUUUUAUGAUA